GAGUUUGAUCUUGGCUCAGAUUGAACGCUGGCGGCAUGCCUUACACAUGCAAGUCGAACGGCAGCACGGGAGCUUGCUCCUGGUGGGCGAGUGGCGAACGGGUGAGUAAUGCAUCGGAAUGUAUCCUGGAGUGGGGGAUAACGUAGCGAAAGUUACGCUAAUACCGCAUAUUCUGUGAGCAGGAAAGCGGGGGACCUUCGGGCCUCGCGCUCUUGGAGCGGCCGAUGUCGGAUUAGCUAGUUGGUGAGGUAAAGGCUCACCAAGGCGACGAUCCGUAGCAGGUCUGAGAGGAUGAUCUGCCACACUGGAACUGAGACACGGUCCAGACUCCUACGGGAGGCAGCAGUGGGAAUUUUGGACAAUGGGGGCAACCCUGAUCCAGCCAUGCCGCGUGAGUGAGAAAGGCCU
Molecule: ribosomal RNA, 408 nt
Filed under: bacterium enrichment culture clone ALO1_GLFRUDD03GZZ41
Lineage: Bacteria
Description: bacterial SSU rRNA
Rfam family: Bacterial small subunit ribosomal RNA
Source: RNAcentral